AUUGAACGCUGGCGGCAUGCCUUACACAUGCAAGUCGAACGGCAGCGGGCCUUCGGGUGCCGGCGAGUGGCGAACGGGUGAGUAAUGCAUCGGAACGUGCCAUUGAGUGGGGGAUAACGUAGCGAAAGUUACGCUAAUACCGCAUAUUCUGUGAGCAGGAAAGCAGGGGACCGCAAGGCCUUGCGCUCUUUGAGCGGCCGAUGUCAGAUUGGCUAGUUGGUGAGGUAAAGGCUUACCAAGGCGACGAUCUGUAGCGGGUCUGAGAGGAUGAUCCGCCACACUGGAACUGAGACACGGUCCAGACUCCUACGGGAGGCAGCAGUGGGGAAUUUUGGACAAUGGGCGCAAGCCUGAUCCAGCCAUGCCGCGUGAGUGAAGAAGGCCUCGG
Molecule: ribosomal RNA, 388 nt
Filed under: uncultured bacterium
Lineage: Bacteria
Description: bacterial SSU rRNA
Rfam family: Bacterial small subunit ribosomal RNA
Source: RNAcentral